UAGGCGUAUAGCUCAGUUGGUAGAGUCCUGGUCUCCAAAACCAGUUGUCGUGGGUUCAAAUCCUACUGCGCCUGA
Molecule: transfer RNA, 75 nt
Filed under: Termitinemataceae bacterium
Lineage: Bacteria; Pseudomonadati; Spirochaetota; Spirochaetia; Spirochaetales; Termitinemataceae
Description: tRNA-Trp
Rfam family: tRNA
About the family: Transfer RNA (tRNA) molecules are approximately 80 nucleotides in length. Their secondary structure includes four short double-helical elements and three loops (D, anti-codon, and T loops).
Source: RNAcentral